Molecule: ribosomal RNA, 468 nt
Filed under: uncultured bacterium
Lineage: Bacteria
Description: partial 16S ribosomal RNA
Rfam family: Bacterial small subunit ribosomal RNA
Source: RNAcentral
GACGAACGCUGGCGGCGUGCUUAACACAUGCAAGUCGAACGGAAAGGCCCUGCUUUUGUGGGGUGCUCGAGUGGCGAACGGGUGAGUAACACGUGAGUAACCUGCCCCUGACUUUGGGAUAACUUCAGGAAACUGGGGCUAAUACCGGAUAGGAGCUCCUGCUGCAUGGUGGGGGUUGGAAAGUUUCGGCGGUUGGGGAUGGACUCGCGGCUUAUCAGCUUGUUGGUGGGGUAGUGGCUUACCAAGGCUUUGACGGGUAGCCGGCCUGAGAGGGUGACCGGCAACAUUGGGACUGAGAUACGGCCCAGACUCCUACGGGAGGCAGCAGUGGGGAAUAUUGCACAAUGGGCGGAAGCCUGAUGCAGCAACGCCGCGUGCGGGAUGACGGCCUUCGGGUUGUAAACCGCUUUCGCCUGUGACGAAGCGUGAGUGACGGUAAUGGGUAAAGAAGCACCGGCUAACUACGUG